Long non-coding RNA from Eptesicus fuscus (big brown bat), 319 nucleotides. RefSeq lists it as uncharacterized. The transcript has 3 exons. The record is from RefSeq and is a predicted model, not a curated record. Lineage: Eukaryota; Metazoa; Chordata; Mammalia; Chiroptera; Vespertilionidae.
GACUGCCAGCGCUGCCAAUCGCUGCCCGCCGCCCUAGCAUCCCAAGCCGCCUUCCGUCGUGCUGGACCGGCGCGCAGGUGUUCAUGAAAAAAAUGCACAAAAUCCCGACUGACCGGAAUAAUUCAUGAAGAAGGGGCUGGAUCCGUGGGUCAGAGAACACAGGACCAGUUUGCCAUCCCAAGGCCCAAGUCUGGUGUCUCGGAUUUGGCCCUGCGUUGCCUACUCCUGCUGGAUCUUGUCCAGUCGAGGGACAAAAACGUCCUGACAUCUUCCUGAAGAAUGGGAAGAAAGGAGAUUCUGGAAAGCACAGAUUGCAAUA